RNAcentral lists this ribosomal RNA (811 nucleotides) under uncultured Thermoproteales archaeon. Its description in RNAcentral is "bacterial SSU rRNA". It matches the Rfam family "Archaeal small subunit ribosomal RNA", at positions 85 to 879 of the family's 1478-position model. The record is from RNAcentral. Lineage: Archaea; Thermoproteati; Thermoproteota; Thermoprotei; Thermoproteales.
ACKGCUCAGUAACACGUGGCUAACCUGCCCUUGGGACGAGAACAUCCCCGGGAAACUGGGGCUAAUUCUCGAUAGGUGAAGAACUCUGGAAUGAGUCUUCGCCCAAAAGCCAUUUGGAUCAUGCUUCCAGGUGGCGCCCAAGGAUGGGGCCGCGACCGAUCAGGUUGUUGGUGAGGUAAUGGCCCACCAAGCCUAUAACCGGUGCGGGCCGUGAGAGCGGGAGCCCGGAGAUGGGCACUGAGACAAGGGCCCAGGUCCUACGGGGCGCAGCAGUCGCGAAAACUUUGCAAUACACGAAAGUGUGACAGGGUCAUCCCGAGUGCCGACCGCUGAGGUUGGCUUUUACCCAGUCUAGAAAGCUGGGGGAAUAAGGAGAGGGCAAGUCUGGUGUCAGCCGCCGCGGUAAUACCAGCUCUCCGAGUGGUGUGGACGUUUAUUGGGCCUAAAGCAUCCGUAGCUGGCUGAACAAGUCCCCUGUUAAACCCACCGAUUUAAUCGUUGGCGUGCGGGGGAUACUGCUCGGCUAGGGGACGAGAGAGGCAGACGGUAUUCCCGGGGUAGGGGCGAAAUCCUAUAAUCCCGAGAAGACCACCAGUGGCGAAGGCUGUCUGCUAGAACGCGCCCGACGGUGAGGGAUGAAAGCUGGGGGAGCGAACCGGAUUAGAUACCCGGGUAGUCCCAGCUGUAAACGAUGCAGACUAGGUGUUUGGACGGCCACGUGCCGUUCUAGUGCCGCAGGGAAGCUGUUAAGUCUGCCGCCUGGGGAGUACGAUCGCAAGAUUGAAACUUAAAGGAAUUGGCGGGGGAGCAC